Molecule: long non-coding RNA, 1220 nt
Filed under: Pogona vitticeps (central bearded dragon)
Lineage: Eukaryota; Metazoa; Chordata; Lepidosauria; Squamata; Agamidae
Description: lncRNA (ENSPVIG00000017269.1)
Source: RNAcentral
GGUCAUGGGAACCCACAUGCCAUCAGCCUUAACGGAUUUAUAUCUUCUGAUGUGUGGUUGUCUUUAAAGUCUUUAAAGAGUGGGUUGUCACUCACACCCUUGAAAGUGGCCAUAGCAUAGCCCAGGGAUAAUUAUGCACGUUAUCCAAAAUCUAGGGCUUGACAACUCCACUUUAGAAAGAUCUUGGAAAGCCAAGACUGGCCGGGGAGAAGCCUCUCCUUAAAAACUUUGGGGGCAGUCACUUUUCAUCCCGAUCCACAAACCACCUGGACUUCUGCCCACCUUCCAGCUGUGGAAUUCUGAUAAACAGACCAAGGUCCUGACUGUGUCUUUGUGGCAGUUCCAGGGUUCCUAUAAAAGUGCUUCUUCAUAACACACAGGGACCUUAUUGCAGGUGGCCAGUGUCUUAACUUCUGUUAUAAGGAUACGUGGCUUGGAAAUUCAUGGGAAGAAUGAUACCUAAAGUGAUGCUGUAUGUUUAAAGGCAGUGUUAGGGGCUGCUGUGUGGGCGUGGGUUUUGCAUGCACAGCUUCCAGUGGCAUGGAGCUAGCCACUUUUUAAAGCAGGACGUGGCAUUCCCAUUGAGCUAUUUAAGACAUUACGUAUGUAGCAUCAGAAAGGACACGUCAGGCCAGGGUUGAUUCCUCACAACUUUCUCCACUUCCUAUCUCUUAGGGAAAUUUGUUGACGUCACCAUCGACUGGUUCUGUGCCACCACUGCCUUUCUGUUCAUCUGUGCCAUCCUUUCCCCCUUGGUGGUCAUGAUGCACGCACAAGUGACCCGGCUGUCCAAGACGUCAGAGGCAGAGACCGAGGUGAUUCAGGUGCGGAUUCUCCUUUUGACCGAAGUUCUCCAGCAGCUCCAAAUUGGCAAAGGUAAUAUAAAUGUGACUAACAAGGGCAGAUUAAUGAGGUUCGUUAGACUCCAUGCAGUAGGGAUGAAAAAUGUCUUGUGUUUGUUGAAUAUUUAUUUAUCGAAUAUUUAUUUAUUGGAGGGGGGAAAAACAUGUGUAACCAAAAGUGUGUUGCUCAGAUCCUGUGCAAUUCAAGGGAGAGGUGUACUAAGAAAAGAUUUACCCAUUCCCUUCCACUUGGGGGCGCUGUGGGAUGGUGCAGCUUGCCCAGGGCCACCCAGGCUGGCUCUACUCCCAGGUAGCCCCAGUGAGGGGAAUCAAACUCUCAGUCUCUGGCCCUGUAGCUGGACAACUUUUUGGCAGUAA